Eupeodes corollae is the source of this 530-nucleotide long non-coding RNA. RefSeq lists it as uncharacterized. The transcript has 2 exons. The record is from RefSeq and is a predicted model, not a curated record. NCBI's taxonomy places the organism in Eukaryota, Metazoa, Arthropoda, Insecta, Diptera, Syrphidae.
AAGCGAAGCUAUCGAUAAAAAAUCUUAACCUGGCAAGCCUGUUACCUACGUUCCUACCAAAAUCGCGUGAAUGUUGACAAAAUGGGUAAAAGAAACUGGUUUUCCGAUCAACGCACAGUUAUUCUCUACUCUUUUCAAUACUUAACAACAACAAAAAAGAAGGUUGAUAGACUAGAAACUGGAAGGCUACGAACGGUGGUGGUGUAAGAAAAACACGUUACGAGUUACGACGUUUGCCACAACACUGCUCUCUCUCAAAGCGUCUGCGAACUGCGACUUUGAACUGGAGUGGAAUCUGGUUUUGAGCUAGGGUCUACCGCUAUUUAGCCUCCACACUGCUCGGCGGGUUUGGUAACGAAAUUUAUAAUUACAUUUUGUUUACUUGCGGCAAAUUUAAAUUGAGGCGGAACAUAAAAUUAUUCUAUGGACCAAAACUAAUUUCUUUUGACUUUUAUUUAACUUUAAAAUGAAUAUCAGAAUUUUGUUUAAGCAAAAAAGAUAAGUUAAGUUUUGUAAUUGGGAAUUGGUAG